GGGCAGUUAUCCAAGCGGCCAACGGGCACUGACUGUAAAUCAGCUGGCGCAAGCCUUCGUAGGUUCGAAUCCUACACUGCCCA
This 83-nucleotide transfer RNA is filed under the name Ktedonobacterales bacterium. RNAcentral's name for it is "tRNA-Tyr". It matches the Rfam family "tRNA". Rfam says of the family: Transfer RNA (tRNA) molecules are approximately 80 nucleotides in length. Lineage: Bacteria; Bacillati; Chloroflexota; Ktedonobacteria; Ktedonobacterales. The record is from RNAcentral.